This 490-nucleotide ribosomal RNA is filed under the name uncultured bacterium. RNAcentral's name for it is "partial 16S ribosomal RNA". It matches the Rfam family "Bacterial small subunit ribosomal RNA", at positions 30 to 507 of the family's 1533-position model. The record is from RNAcentral.
AUUGAACGCUGGCGGCAGGCCUAACACAUGCAAGUCGAACGGUAACAGGAAACAGCUUGCUGUUUCGCUGACGAGUGGCGGACGGGUGAGUAAUGUCUGGGAAACUGCCUGAUGGAGGGGGAUAACUACUGGAAACGGUAGCUAAUACCGCAUAACGUCGCAAGACCAAAGAGGGGGACCUUCGGGCCUCUUGCCAUCGGAUGUGCCCAGAUGGGAUUAGCUAGUAGGUGGGGUAACGGCUCACCUAGGCGACGAUCCCUAGCUGGUCUGAGAGGAUGACCAGCCACACUGGAACUGAGACACGGUCCAGACUCCUACGGGAGGCAGCAGUGGGGAAUAUUGCACAAUGGGCGCAAGCCUGAUGCAGCCAUGCCGCGUGUAUGAAGAAGGCCUUCGGGUCGUAAAGUACUUUCAGCGGGGAGGAAGGGAGUAAAGUUAAUACCUUUGCUCAUUGACGUUACCCGCAGAAGAAGCACCGGCUAACUCCGUG